GAUGAACCCUAAAAAGUUCUUUAAACACAAAGGUUUGGUCCUGACCUUGGAGUCAACUUUUACUUAAUAUACACAUGCAAGUAUCCGCCUCCCUGUGAAAACGCCCUUAAACCCCCUCUAGGGACGAGGAGCCGGUAUCAGGNANAAAAUUUUUGCCNAAAANACCUAGCUAUGCCACACCCACAAGGGAAUUCAGCAGUGAUUAACAUUGAGCAUUAGCGCAAGCUUGACUCAGUCAAAGUAAAAAUAGAGCCGGCCAAUCUGGUGCCAGCCGCCGCGGUUACACCAUGUGGCUCAAAUUGACCCCCUUCGGCGUAAAGCGUGAUUAAAGUCAACAAACUCUAGAGUUAAACUAAAACUGAGCUGUGACAUGCCUGUUACAAGAAACCCAAAAACGAAAGUUACUCUAAUAUAACCUACUUGAAUUCACGACAGCCAGGAAACAAACUGGGAUUAGAUACCCCACUAUGCCCGACCGUAAACUUUUAUUUACACUUUAAAUCGCCAGGGAACUACGAGCUAAGCUUAAAACCCAAAGGACUUGACGGUACCCCAUAUCCCCCUAGAGGAGCCUGUCCUAUAAUCGAUAAUCCACGUUUAACCUCACCAUUUUUAGCCUAUCAGCCUGUAUANCUCCGUCGCCAGCUUACCACGUGAGCGCAAGUCAGUGAGCUUAAUGUUAUUUCACCAAUACGUCAGGUCAAGGUGCAGCAAAUGAAAUGGAAAGAGAUGGGCUACACUUUCUACUUUAGAAAAAACGAAAAACUACCUAUGAAACCUAGUUAGAAGGCGGAUUUAGCAGUAAAAUAAAAUCAGAAUAUUUAUUUUAACUCGGCACUGGGGUGUGUACACACNGCCCGUCACCCUCUUCAAAGUACAUAAACAGUCUUUAACAAACUCAAAUUUAACAGAAGAGGUAAGUCGU
This 925-nucleotide non-coding RNA is filed under the name Mertensophryne taitana. RNAcentral describes it as "partial 12S ribosomal RNA". It matches the Rfam family "Bacterial small subunit ribosomal RNA", at positions 191 to 1489 of the family's 1533-position model. The record is from RNAcentral. Lineage: Eukaryota; Metazoa; Chordata; Amphibia; Anura; Bufonidae.